RNAcentral lists this ribosomal RNA (469 nucleotides) under Clostridia bacterium TSW07CA7. RNAcentral describes it as "bacterial SSU rRNA". It matches the Rfam family "Bacterial small subunit ribosomal RNA", at positions 42 to 478 of the family's 1533-position model. Lineage: Bacteria; Bacillati; Bacillota; Clostridia. The record is from RNAcentral.
GCGUGCUUAACACAUGCAAGUCGAACGGGAAGACAUGAAGAGCUUGCUCUUUAUGAAAUCCAGUGGCAAACGGGUGAGUAACACGUAAACAACCUGCCUUCAGGAUGGGGACAACAGACGGAAACGACUGCUAAUACCGAAUACGAUUCUUGAGUCGCAUGACWCAAGAAAGAAAGGGUGGCCUCUACUUGUAAGCUAUCGCCUGAAGAGGGGUUUGCGUCCGAUUAGGUAGUUGGUGAGGUAACGGCCCACCAAGCCGACGAUCGGUAGCCGGUCUGAGAGGAUGAACGGCCACAUUGGAACUGAGACACGGUCCAGACUCCUACGGGAGGCAGCAGUGGGGAAUCUUCCGCAAUGGGCGAAAGCCUGACGGAGCAACGCCGCGUGAGUGAAGACGGCCUUCGGGUUGUAAAACUCUGUGAUUCGGGACGAAAGAUAAGCAGACGAAUAAUCUGCAUAAGUGACGUAC